Molecule: long non-coding RNA, 706 nt
Filed under: Apteryx rowi (Okarito brown kiwi)
Lineage: Eukaryota; Metazoa; Chordata; Aves; Apterygiformes; Apterygidae
Description: lncRNA (ENSARWG00000002222.1)
Source: RNAcentral
UUUUCUCCGUGAACUUCAGAUGUACAAUGUAAUAUUUCAAACUUAGGUGAAAACCGAUUUCUCUGCCUCCAGCUUUGGUUGCAGUCCGAGUCUGAGGAAAAGUCGUCAUCUUCUUGAAGAAAGCGUCCAUAGUGGAAGCCGGUCAGGCCCUGAGUCCUUUCACCGUCAACUCUGACGGCUGCGUUUGGCCUGCUCAGAAAGAACGAGAGUUGAAAAGACGCAAGAAUUGCCAGUUCUGGGAAGAAGAGGUGUUUUCACAACAAAACAGACAAAGAAUCAUAAAGACUUGAAGAAACGAUACUUCCCAAAUUCCUUCCAGUUCAGAGACCCACCAAAGUCUGGUGGAUCAUCUCCACCAGUCUACCUGAUCUGAGGCUUCAAAGUAUAACACGUAAAGGCCUACAUUAACUCUUCUGGAUAUGCCUUUAACCUAACGAGCACCAAUCCAUUUCACCUCUGAAAGAACUGAUUAAUUGACUCAGAGUCCUGCGAAGGUCGUUAGCUCCUCUCAGGGUCGCAGACACUGAAGCUGCCGCAAGCGGAGCCCAACUCGGAGCAAGCGGAGGGCCGCAGGCAUGUUUUGGCGUCGUUUCUUAAGUAAAUAGCUCCUCAGCAGCCCCGUGCUUUCGUUGUUGAGUGGGAGGCAUUACGUAGUGCCCCUCGCUGCGGCCCUGCGCGGGGGUUCGCCCGUAUCCCUGUGCUUGAG